RNAcentral lists this ribosomal RNA (254 nucleotides) under uncultured bacterium. RNAcentral describes it as "partial 16S ribosomal RNA". It matches the Rfam family "Bacterial small subunit ribosomal RNA", at positions 524 to 776 of the family's 1533-position model. The record is from RNAcentral.
UACGAAGGGGGCAAGCGUUGUUCGGAUUUACUGGUCGUAAAGGGCGCGUAGGCGGCGCGUAAAGUCGGAAAUGAAAUCAUUAGGCUCAACCUAAUGGCUGUGUCCGAUACUUACGUGCUUGGAGUGCGGGAGAGGCAGCCGGAAUUCUCGGUGUAGCGGUGAAAUGCGUAGAUAUCGAGAGGAACACCGGUGACGAAGGUGGGUUGCUGGACCGACACUGACGCUGAGGCGCGAAAGCUAGGGGAGCAAACUGG